RNAcentral lists this ribosomal RNA (468 nucleotides) under uncultured bacterium. RNAcentral describes it as "partial 16S ribosomal RNA". It matches the Rfam family "Bacterial small subunit ribosomal RNA", at positions 28 to 507 of the family's 1533-position model. The record is from RNAcentral.
GACGAACGCUGGCGGCGUGCUUAACACAUGCAAGUCGAACGGAAAGGCCCUGCUUUUGUGGGGUGCUCGAGUGGCGAACGGGUGAGUAACACGUGAGUAACCUGCCCUUGACUUUGGGAUAACUUCAGGAAACUGGGGCUAAUACCGGAUAGGAGCUCCUGCUGCAUGGUGGGGGUUGGAAAGUUUCGGCGGUUGGGGAUGGACUGGCGGCUUAUCAGCUUGUUGGUGGGGUAGUGGCUUACCAAGGCUUUGACGGGUAGCCGGCCUGAGAGGGUGACCGGCGCCCUGGGGACUGAGAGACGGCCCAGACGCGUACGGGAGGCAGCAGUGGGGACUAUUGCACAAUGGGCGGAAGCCUGAUGAAGAGACGCCGCGUGCGGGAUGACGGCCUUCGGGUUGUAAACCGCUUUCGCCUGUGACGAAGCGUGAGUGACGGUAAUGGGUAAAGAAGCACCGGCUAACUACGUG